This 350-nucleotide ribosomal RNA is filed under the name uncultured bacterium. RNAcentral's name for it is "bacterial SSU rRNA". It matches the Rfam family "Bacterial small subunit ribosomal RNA", at positions 355 to 696 of the family's 1533-position model. The record is from RNAcentral.
UAGGGAAUUUUUCGCAAUGGACGCAAGUCUGACGGAGCAAUACCGCGUGAGGGAUGAAGGUUUUCGGAUCGUAAACCUCUGUUGUAAGGGAAGAAUAGCAGGUGUAGGAAAUGGCAUCUGUCUGACGGUACCUUACCAGAAAGUGACGGCUAACUACGUGCCAGCAGCCGCGGUAAUACGUAGGUCACGAGCGUUAUCCGGAAUUAUUGGGCGUAAAGAGCAUGUAGGCGGUUUGUUAAGUUUGGUGUGAAAGCUAGUGGCCUAACCACUAAAUUGCAUUGAAAAACUGACAAACUAGAAUACUGGAGAGGUAAGUGGAAUUUCUUGUGUAGCGGUGGAAUGCGUAGAUA